UACGGAGGGAGCUAGCGUUGUUCGGAAUUACUGGGCGUAAAGCGCACGUAGGCGGCUUUGUAAGUUAGAGGUGAAAGCCCGGGGCUCAACUCCGGAACUGCCUUUAAGACUGCAUCGCUUGAAUCGAGGAGAGGUGAGUGGAAUUCCGAGUGUAGAGGUGAAAUUCGUAGAUAUUCGGAAGAACACCAGUGGCGAAGGCGGCUCACUGGACUGGUAUUGACGCUGAGGUGCGAAAGCGUGGGGAGCAAGCAGG
Molecule: ribosomal RNA, 253 nt
Filed under: uncultured bacterium
Lineage: Bacteria
Description: partial 16S ribosomal RNA
Rfam family: Bacterial small subunit ribosomal RNA
Source: RNAcentral